CCAGAGAACUUAGCAGAGAUGCUUUGGUGCCUUCGGGAACUCUGAGACAGGUGCUGCAUGGCUGUCGUCAGCUCGUGUUGUGAAAUGUUGGGUUAAGUCCCGCAACGAGCCGCAACCCUUAUCCUUUGUUGCCAGCGGUUAGGCCGGGAACUCAAAGGAGACUGCCAGUGAUAAACUGGAGGAAGGUGGGGAUGACGUCAAGUCAUCAUGGCCCUUACGAGUAGGGCUACACACGUGCUACAAUGGCGCAUACAAAGAGAAGCGACCUCGCGAGAGCAAGCGGACCUCAUAAAGUGCGUCGUAGUCCGGAUUGGAGUCUGCAACUCGACUCCAUGAAGUCGGAAUCGCUAGUAAUCGUGGAUCAGAAUGCCACGGUGAAUACGUUCCCGGGCCUUGUACACACCGCCCGUCACACCAUGGGAGUGGGUUGCAAAAGAAGUAGGUGGCUUAACCUUCGGGAGGGCGCUUACCACUUUGUGAUUCGUGACUGGGGUGAAGUCGUAACAAGGUAGGCGUAGUGCU
RNAcentral lists this ribosomal RNA (522 nucleotides) under uncultured bacterium. RNAcentral describes it as "bacterial SSU rRNA". It matches the Rfam family "Bacterial small subunit ribosomal RNA", at positions 988 to 1509 of the family's 1533-position model. The record is from RNAcentral.